GGGCCAGGGGAGAGAGGAAGCUGAUUUGCAUGAAGCACUUCCUUAUUCUCAUAGGUGUGGAGUCAAGAAAAGGCCCAGGGACACCCUACUCUGGCCGAAGAGCCUGUGAGACCACAUCCUGUGAGGGUUCCCACCAUGGCCUGGAUGGUGCUUCUUUUUGGGGUCCUUGCUUAUGGCUCAGGAGCAGAUUCUCAGACUGUGGUGACUCAGGAGUCAUCAGUCUCAGUGUCUCCAGGAGGGACAGUCACACUCACGUGUGACCUCAGCUCUGGGUCAGUGACUACAAGUAACAACCCCAGCUGGUACCAGCAGACCCAAGGCCGAUCUCCUCGCAUGCUUAUCUAUGACACAAGCAGCUGUCCCUCGGAGGUCCCUGAUCGCUUCUCUGGAUCCAUUUCUGGGAACACAGCUGCCCUCACCAUCACAGGAGCCCAGCCUGAGGACAAGGCUGACUACUACUGUAGUAUGCAUGAUGUCAGUGGGAGCAGCUACAAUUACCCACAGCAUCUCAGAUAA
Molecule: non-coding RNA, 516 nt
Organism: Canis lupus familiaris (dog)
Lineage: Eukaryota; Metazoa; Chordata; Mammalia; Carnivora; Canidae
Source: the annotation of a RefSeq genome assembly